AGGGCGUUCAGUUCGUCGGACUAGACCCGAAACCAGUCGAUCUAUCCAUGGCCAGGUUGAAAGCAGGGUAACACCUGCUGGAGGACCGAACCGGUGCCUGUUGAAAAAGUCUCGGAUGAGCUGUGGAUAGGGGUGAAAGGCCAAUCAAGGCUGGAAAUAGCUGGUUCUCCGCGAAAUCUAUUUUAGGUAGAGCCUCGAGUGAAUACCCCAGGGGGUAGAGCACUGGAUGGGCUAGGGGCCCCCACAGGGGUUACCAAACCUAACCAAACUCCGAAUACCUGGGAGUACUGCUCGGGAGACACACGGCGGGUGCUAACGUCCGUCGUGAAAAGGGAAAAAACCCUAGACCGACAGCUAAGGUCCUCAAGUCACGGCUAAGUGUGAAAGGAUGUGGAAAUCCCAUAACAACCAGGAGGUUGGCUUAGAAGCAGCCAUCCUUUAAAGAAAGCGUAACAGCUCACUGGUCUAAUUAAGGGUUUCUGCGCCGAAAAAUGUAACGGGGCUAAAGCCGUGCACCGAAGCUUCGGGCUCAGCAAUGAGCGGUAGCGGAGCG
This 553-nucleotide ribosomal RNA is filed under the name uncultured bacterium. RNAcentral's name for it is "bacterial LSU rRNA". It matches the Rfam family "Bacterial large subunit ribosomal RNA", at positions 689 to 1238 of the family's 2925-position model. The record is from RNAcentral.